Panicum virgatum (switchgrass) is the source of this 2044-nucleotide RNA transcript. RefSeq lists it as uncharacterized. The transcript has 9 exons. NCBI's taxonomy places the organism in Eukaryota, Viridiplantae, Streptophyta, Magnoliopsida, Poales, Poaceae. The record is from RefSeq and is a predicted model, not a curated record.
GGCCGUUCGCCUGGCUGGCUGACCGCUCCCUCGCGAGCUGCUCACGAGUCACGAGUCACGACUCGUCGGUCUCGCCUAGGGUUUUAGGCCUUGGGGGCGGGCUGCGGGCUGGCGGCGACCGGGCAGCAGGUUCCGGGCAGCGCUGCUACGAGCUGCUACUGCUAGGUGCUAGCGGCUGGAGGCGCGCGCACAUCGCCCAGGACCGGUAGCACGCGGGGGCGGGCGGCGGCCGCCGUCACUCCGUCAGGACUGAGCGGCGUCUCUGCGGUCUGCAGAGGGCGCCGCCGCACGGAGGCUGGAGGCGGAGCGCGUGCCGCGGCCUGCGAUCUGCGACUGCAAGUCGUCCUGCCUGUUCCUGUCCUCUCCUUGUUCAUUCGUUCCCCACCUCGCCGCGCGCCGCCCCGCUAGGGUUUCCUCCCCUGCCCGUUCCAGCCAUCACCAUGCCUAGCCACAGCUCAGGAAGGUCAGCAUCGCGCCCUGCUCGGCGUGCUGCUCUGAUGAGGAAUCCACCGCAGCCAGGUUUCUUGGGGUGGCUGGGGGAAGGAAUGCUGGUGGCGACAUGCUAAGCCGCGGAGCUGUGCGUUCGCUGUUGGAUCGUCUCCGGUUGCCGCCUCGGGGGUGGAAGCAGAACCCUAGCCCCGCCAUGCCGACGGUUGUCAACCGCGCCUGCCUCUGCUGGUUCAGCCAUUCCACUGCGCACGGCGAGGGUCGCGCUGUGCUGCCGGGGAAGAUGGGGUUCCUUCAUCUGGCUGGCGGGCGGAGUUUGGCGCCAACCGGCGCGCUCACCUUGAAGGGGUGCCUAGGGUGGCAGGACAGCGGCGGCGGCAGCGGGUUCAGGAGGAGGGUCGAUGGGGAGGCGGCGGGGAUCAAGGCACAGGUGCUCACCAGGCAACGCCAGCUGAUGCGCGAUCCGGAGGUCCUGCCGCUGGAGGAGGCCGCCGCCACCGCGAAGACCCUGAACGGGAAUGGCGCGUGCCGGCGAGGGAAGCCGCUGGGGUUCCCUGAGCAAGGCUGUGGCGGCUAAGAUGGUGGUUGCUGUUGAUGUGGAUGAAGUUCUUGGAAGCUUUCUUGCAGCACUGAACAAAUUUAUUGCUGAUCGUUAUUCUUGGAAUCACACUGUAUCCGAAUACCAUGUGUAUGAGUUCUUUAGGAUAUGGAACUGUUCUCGUGAAAGAGCUAAUUAUCUUGUCCACGAGUUUUUCACAACCCAUUAUUUCCAAGAUGGUAUACAGCCUAUCCCCGGUGCUCGAGACGCUCUCCAAAAUCUUUCUUCAUUCUGUAGCUUGUCUAUAGUAACAUCUCGGCAGGAUGCAAUUAAGAAUCACACAUUAGAGUGGAUCGAGAAGUAUUAUCCAGGCUUAUUUGAGCAGAUCCAUUUCGGGAACCAUUUCGCUUUGGAGGGCAAGUCAAGACCAAAAUCAGAGAUUUGCAGAUCUUUUGGCGCUCAGGUUUUAAUAGAUGACAACCCAAGAUAUGCUAUGGAGUGCGCUAAUUAUGGCAUGAGGGUGCUGCUCUUCGAUUACGAUAGCUCAUACCCUUGGUGCAAGACUGGAGUUGAUGAGUCGCAUCCACUGGUGACCAAGGUCCACAACUGGGAAGAAGUGGAGGAGAAACUUCUUUCUUGGGUAGUACCUGAGAGCUGACAUUCUUCUCCAGUGUGAGAAGAAUUGCUUAAGACCAGCAAGUGCUUCCUAUUUCUUGAUUUAUGAAGAAAAGUGUUAGGGGGUGAAUAAAAAUUUAUUUUUGAUACACAAAGCUGUCAGCGCAGGCAAGGGCAUUUCAUAUCUUUGCUAAGGGACUGGCGAGUGAACGUUGUUUCAUUGCCACAUGCUGGUCGAGGCAAACCAGUUUUAACAUUGUCCUAGGUCCAAUCAAGGUAUAGACGCAUCUAUUGGCAGAGAUCAGAUUUGUUCUUUUUCAUCCAUCCACCUUAAGGUGGGUGUAGUGUGUAUAUAUUGACAUUGCCAUAUGGUAAGAUGAAUUUAGAUGCUAAUAAUGGAUCAUCCACAGAUGAAUGCAUCGAAGGUAGUAGGCAUAAGGUCAA